Molecule: ribosomal RNA, 253 nt
Filed under: uncultured bacterium
Lineage: Bacteria
Description: partial 16S ribosomal RNA
Rfam family: Bacterial small subunit ribosomal RNA
Source: RNAcentral
UACGUAGGGUGCAAGCGUUAAUCGGAAUUACUGGGCGUAAAGCGUGCGCAGGCGGUUUUGUAAGUCUGUCGUGAAAUCCCCGGGCUCAACCUGGGAAUUGCAUCUGUGACUGCAUAGCUAGAGUACGGUAGAGGGGGAUGGAAUUCCGCGUGUAGCAGUGAAAUGCGUAGAUAUGCGGAGGAACACCGAUGGCGAAGGCAAUCCCCUGGACCUGUACUGACGCUCAUGCACGAAAGCGUGGGGAGCAAACAGG